This 4055-nucleotide long non-coding RNA is filed under the name Nicotiana benthamiana. RNAcentral's name for it is "long non-coding RNA (NBEN_LNC005545)". The record is from RNAcentral. Lineage: Eukaryota; Viridiplantae; Streptophyta; Magnoliopsida; Solanales; Solanaceae.
GGUCUUCACGUGCUGUCUCCACUGGUCCAUCUCGACCACGACCGCGGCCACACCCAAGGCCUCUAGCAGGUGGCACUAGUGGUCGUCUUCCACGUCCGAUAGCACGGGUUCUCUCCAUCUGCGAGAGAAUAGAAUAAGAAGUUUCAGUUCUCAAAUGAACAAAGCCACACGAUAAGAAUUCCAAGAAAGUGAAGUGUUUCCAUAAGUUCUAUAGCCCCUCGAGGAUAUGAUACGGACGUCUACGUACCGAUCCGUGUGACUCUACUAAACUGGCUCAUAAUUCGUGAGGCCUAGCAACCUAGGCUCUGAUACCAACUUGUCACGACCCUAACCCCGAUCGUGAUGGCGCCUGGCCACAAGGAUAGGCAAGCCCAACCAAACCAAUUCCAAAGAACGGCCUUCCAGCCCAAAAAGAGAUACAACUUUAGGGUAAAACAUCAAUUUUUUUGAAAUAUAAACUCCCAACCAGGGAUAAGCAAUACGGUGGAAAACACAUAUGAGCCAACAUCACUCCCUAAACCUUGGGGUCAAGAGUACAGAGCCUCUAACAAUACCGAAUACAAGUCUGAAAGGAAAUGAUACAAAUGUUUGACAAAACUAUAAAGGAAACAGACUGAAUGAGACAGAGUACGCGGUCCUGCUGACGCUGGCCAGCUACCUCAAUACUCUGAUACAUCGGAUAGCAACAGCAACAGCACUAGAUCUCUGGAGCUCCUGGAUCUGCACACAAGGUUCAGGAAGUAUAGGGUGAGUCUAUCAACCCAGUGAGUAAUAAGCAUGUAAAAAAACCCCGAAGAUAAGAAAACACAAAAAUAACACAAAAUGAAGCUAUCUAGCAGUUCUAUACAAUACAAGCCUCAGAGAUAUACAGAUAAAGCAACAGUACAUAAAUGCAUGAGAUGCGAUGAAAUGCAUAAACACUACGAAACGUGCAUCCCGAUCAUUUGGGUACCCGCGCUCACUGUGGGGGUUCAGACUCCGGAGGGGCUCCUACAGCCCAAGCACCAUAUCAUACAGUGCCAAUAGUUACCACUGUUUCCAUUUUAAUACACUGUGCCAAUAGUUACCACCGUUUCUAAGAAAUAAUAUACAGUCCAGAAAAUAGUAGAAUCAUGAUCGUCAGCCCGAAAUAUCAUUAAAGAAUUAUUUGAGUUUUUAUAACAUAGAAAUACGGCUGAGUUGGCAAAAAUAGUGCUUGAAACCCAGGACUGGAUUCAAUGAUAUGCAAAUCAUGCUAACUCUGAUAUAUCAAUCCCUCAAGGAUUCUACAAGUCGGCACAUGGCAUCAAGCCCUGAUAUCAUCAAUAUAGUAUGCGAAACAAUCGCCAACAUAACACAAUUUAUCCCUCGGAUUGGACCGAGUCACAAUUUUCAACAUAUACGACCCCGCACUAUCCAUGGAGUGCACGUCUAGACUCAUAAUAGCGUCACAAUGUGAUAUAAUGGGGUCUCAGGUCAUCAUCUACACCCAUUACUCACCUCAAGCCGGCCGCAAACUAGCUCGUAAUGCCUUUCCCUCGAGAAUCAACCUUCGCAGAAGUCAAAUCUGAACAAAACCAAUAGGAAUACGUCACAAUAGGCUAAUGGGACAUAACCUAAUCGAAAUAACUCAAAAUAAACCCAAAAAUACCCAGGGCCCACUUCUCAAAAAAUUACGAAAUUCAAUUUUCAGAAUCAUCGUUUCGCCACGAGUCCAUACACAUCAAAUUUACGAGAAUCAGAGUCCAUUUGACCCCUCAAAUCAACACUUUAAGCUCACUUGGGUUUCAAGCCCUAACCCCCAUUUUUGAAAUUAAAAAACUUGAAUUCUUUGUGUUUAAUCCGUGAUUUUACACUAUAAUGACAUAAUUUAGGUCCUUGAGUUCAUACCUAAAGAAUUCCCUCAAAAAUCUCUCCAACAAUCGCCCACAAUCGCCUUCAAUGCUUUAACACUACAAUGAUAUACUUUAGGUCGAAGAGUUCAUACCUGAUGAAUUCCGCCAAAAAUCUCUCCAGAAAUCGCCCACAAUUGCCUUAGCCCGAGGUCCACUGUUAUUCCCUUUUAAAAUUUUAAACCUAUUGUUUCGUUAAACCAGAUCGAUUUCCGCUCGAGCGAUCCUUUUUCCGCUUCAGCAACUCUCGCUUCCGCGCCUAUUUGACCGCUUCCGCGGUUUAACUUAAUUAUGCAGCGACCGCUUCUGCGGUCCUUGACCGCCUCCGCGACCAUCGCUCCUGCGGUCGCUUGUCCGCUUCUGCAGCCCUAGACAAAUUGCCCUUGGCCUCUUCUACGACCCAUCUUCUGCUUCAGCGGUCCAUUGUUCGCAAACGCGAACAUACCUGAAGAACGACUCCCAAAUCUGAAACAAACUCCAAAAAUUCUCGUUUAACCAUCCGGAAUCACUCUGAGGCCCCCGGGGUCCAAACCACAAACACAAAUAUGACCAAACACCUCAUUCAAACUUUCUUGAGCCUUAACAUUAACGCCAAAAUCAUCACUUUCCUUAAAUCAAAGCCUAAGAUAACUUAGAGUUUUCCAAAAUCACAUUCGAUGCCGAAACCACCAAACGAGGUUCGAAUGACCUGAAAUUUUGCACACAUAUCCAAAUUCACCUAACAAGAUACUACAACUCUUGUAAUUCCAUUCCGAACCUCGAAUAAAAUUCCCACCUAUCAAUCGGAAUUCGCCGAAAUUCAACUUCGCCAAUUCAAGCCUAAUUCUACACCGGACCUCAAAAUUCAAUUUCGUUUUCUCUCCCAAGUCACAAAUCAUCCCCGAAACUAGCGGAAUCAUCGAAAAUUCGUUCCGGGCCCUCUAAAUCUCAAGUCCAUGUCCGGUUGACUUUCCAACUUAAGAUUUCUUUAAAGAGACUAUUUGUCUCAUUUCUUACCAAAUUCAACCUAACACACUUCAAACUCACCAAACACAUAUAUCAACACACGGAAAAGCAUAAUACGGGGAUAACGGAGCUGAAUAAAGACGACGGAUCGGAUCGUCACAAGACAUGGACAAGGCUUCCUCCCUUUAUUUCAAGAACGCCAAGUUCAAGCGAAAUAGAGAAAAGAAUACAUGCCAACUAAUCAAAUUCCAGAGAAUAAAUGAAGUGCUAAUAUAACUUCAAAUUAACUGAACAUCAUAAUGUCACAUAAGACAACUUCAUAUUCCCCAAUGAAAUGAUAUAAUAAAAAAAUAUUAUUUUCAUUAAGAAAGUCCUAAGAAUCUUUCGUGCAACAUAUCUACUUCACAUGAAAAUAACAAAAAUCAGGAAUCGAGCGGAUCUUCAAGUUUUAAGCAAGAACUCAAUUGUCUAAUCAUUUACUAAAAAUAAUAAUACAGUGAAUCUUCAAAACUAACCUGGCUGAACAAGAAAACUUAAAUAAAUUGACUAAAAGCUUAGACAAACUCGGUCGAAGCUCAGCAAAAAUUUCAGCAAUCAACAGCAGCAAAUCCCACUUCUCAAACUUGUUCGAAUUUAAAUUUCCAGAAAAAAGUUGAGCAAAAGAGUAGAAUCUUAAGCUAGCUUGGUUUCAAGGCUCUUCCGUGGCUGAUUUUCCAGCAGUAACACAACCGUUAUAGGGCUGGUUUAAGGUCAGUUUUGAGCUUAAUUUAAGGGUUGUUCGAGCUAUAUUUUGGAGCUUCAUUUGAGCUGCUUUUAGCAGGAUUUUAGAGUUGAUUUGAUGGUGUUUUAACACUGAUUUUGGGUCAAUUUUGAACUCGUUUUUUGGAGAUGUUCGGAGGUCAUUCUUUGGGUGAAUCCGGGCUCAUUUUUGGGUUGGUUUUGUGGUGGGAGAGAGCUGGUUCUAAUGGGGGUUUAUGGUGGUCUUUGGGUGAAAUUUACAUGGUAAUUUGUAAUGUUUUAAUGGUUGAUCGUCGAAGUGGGUGUUAAUGGAGGUUUUCAAGUAGGUUUCAUUGAGGAAAGAUGGUGAUUUUCAUGGCUUUUUGUGUUGUGAAGAUGAUGACGGGUUGAAGAGAAAGAAGAGAUGAUGCUCCAUUAUCCUCUUCAAGGACAAAAAAAGGUGAAAUUAUCGUCUAGGUCUCCUUUCUAACGGGUAGGGUCUGUUAGGUAUAUAGAAUUAGG